RNAcentral lists this ribosomal RNA (445 nucleotides) under uncultured bacterium. RNAcentral's name for it is "partial 16S ribosomal RNA". It matches the Rfam family "Bacterial small subunit ribosomal RNA", at positions 354 to 796 of the family's 1533-position model. The record is from RNAcentral.
GUGAGGAAUAUUGCGCAAUGGAGGCAACUCUGACGCAGCCAUGCCGCGUGCAGGAAGAAGGCGCUACGCGUUGUAAACUGCUUUUAACCGGGAAGAAACCCCAGGACGUGUCCUGGGUUGACGGUACCGGAGGAAUAAGCACCGGCUAACUUCGUGCCAGCAGCCGCGGUAAUACGAAGGGUGCAAGCGUUAUCCGGAUUCAUUGGGUUUAAAGGGUGCGGAGGCGGAGCGUUAAGUCAGUGGUGAAAUCCUGCAGCUUAACUGUAGACUUGCCAUUGAUACUGGCGCUCUUGAGUGCGCUUGAAGUGGGCGGAAUGUGCCGUGUAGCGGUGAAAUGCUUAGAUAUGGCACAGAACACCAAUUGCGAAGGCAGCUCACUAAGGCGAUACUGACGCUGAGGCACGAAAGCGUGGGGAUCGAACAGGAUUAGAUACCCGUGUAGUCC